UUUUUCUUUUCUUUUCUUUUUUUUUUUUUGGAGACGGUCUCACUUCAUCGCCCAGGCUGGAGUGCAGUGGCACAAUCUCAGCUCAUUGCAGCCUUGACUUCUUGGGUUCAGGUGAUCCUCCCACCACAGCCUCCCAAGUAGCUAUGACUACAGGCAUAUACCACCAUGCCUGGCUAAUUUUUUUGUAUUGAGACAGUGUUUUGCCAUAUUACUCAGGCUGCUUUCAAAUGCCUAAGCUCAAGUGAUCCUCCUGUCUUGGCUCCCAAAGUGCUGGGGUUAUCGGUGUGAGCCACUGGGCCCAAUCAAUUUUCCAUAGUUUGUUCUAAUGGAGAAAGACAAAGAAAUUUACAAAAAGAGUAUUAUUGUAUACCCUGAUUUUUAACUUGUUUUUAAAAAUUUAAACAGUGUGAUGUAAUCUCUCCCUCUGCCCUUAAAAAUUCCUCUAUAACAUCACUUUUAAUGACCUCAUAGUACUCUACUUUAGUCUAUGAAGUAGUUUUCAAUUUUUAGUGUUAAGAAUAAGAUCAAUCAUUUCAACAUUAUGCCAUAUUUUCCUUUCUCCAAGUUCAUAAUACUAUUGUUAAUGACAUUUAUUUUACUUAUUAUCAUAAACAACUUAUGAUAUUUCUUUCUUUUUUUUUUUUAGACGAAGUCUUGCUCUAUCCCAGGCUGGAGUGCAGUGGUGCAAUCUCGGCUCACUGCAACCUCUGCCUCCUGGUUUCAAGCGAUUCUCCUGCCUCAGCCUUCCAAGUAGCUGGGACUACCGGCAUACGCCACCAUGCUUGACUAAUUUUUGUCUUUUUAGUAGAAACAGGAUUUCACCAUGUUGGCCAGUCUGGUCUCGAACUCCUGACCUCAUGAUCUGCCUGCCUUGGCCUCCCAAAGUGCUGGGAUUACAGGUGUGAGCCACCGCACCUGGCAGCUUUUGAUAUUUCUAUACUGCUAUUUAACUUUUUAAUAAACCUGUAUCUUAGUUUUGCCAAAUAUUGCUUACAUAAAUCAGUUUAGGUUAGCUAUUCAGCAGUAGCAAACACCCUCAAAAUCUCAGUGACUUACAAAGACAGCAACAAAAAAGACUUAUUUCUCACUCAUAUUUCAUGUUGGCUAUAGGUUAGCUGUGGAUCGGCUUCAUGUGCUCUUCACUUUGGGACGUAGGUUGAAGGAUCAGCCUCUGUCUGGGACAUGCUAUUCUUUUGGUAGGGAGAAAAGAGCAAUGGUGGAAAUCAUGUGAUGACUCUUAAAGCUUUUGCUGGAAAGUGUUGUUCGGCACUCCACUCAUUAUAUAGAUACAUACUACUGAAGCAAGUAACAGAAUCAAGUUGUCGUGUCAGUGGGUAAAUAAGUAUAAUUCUUUCACAUGGAGAGACACUGACUCAUCGAGAGCAGGAAUAAAAUCCACCUCAGCUCUAAAUUCCUGUGGAUAUGCAUAUUUUGUAUGUUCUUUAUAAAUCAUCA
RNAcentral lists this long non-coding RNA (1455 nucleotides) under Macaca fascicularis (crab-eating macaque). RNAcentral's name for it is "lncRNA (ENSMFAG00000051051.1)". Lineage: Eukaryota; Metazoa; Chordata; Mammalia; Primates; Cercopithecidae. The record is from RNAcentral.